UGGGGAAUUUUCCGCAAUGGGCGAAAGCCUGACGGAGCAACGCCGCGUGAGGGAGGAAGGCUCUUGGGUUGUAAACCUCUUUUCUCAAGGAAGAUAAUGACGGUACUUGAGGAAUCAGCAUCGGCUAACUCCGUGCCAGCAGCCGCGGUAAUACGGAGGAGGCAAGCGUUAUCCGGAAUUAUUGGGCGUAAAGCGUCCGCAGGUGGUUUUUCAAGUCCGCUGUCAAAGACCGGAGCUUAACUCCGGAGAGGCAGUAGAAACUGAGAGACUAGAGUUCGGUAGGGGUAGAGGGAAUUCCCAGUGUAGCGGUGAAAUGCGUAGAGAUUGGGAAGAACACCAGUGGCGAAAGCGCUCUACUGGGCCGAAACUGACACUCACAGGACGAAAGCUAGGGGAGCGAAAGGGAUUAGAUACCCCCGUAGUCC
RNAcentral lists this ribosomal RNA (425 nucleotides) under uncultured prokaryote. RNAcentral describes it as "bacterial SSU rRNA". It matches the Rfam family "Bacterial small subunit ribosomal RNA", at positions 355 to 796 of the family's 1533-position model. The record is from RNAcentral.